UAAGUCAUCUAUCCAUUUCUCAUAUUUGAACAUGGAGAGAUUGAUACAAACCAAGAUUUCUUUGGUUUUCUCAUGAUCUAAAGCCACACGCACCAAUGCUCAUUUCUCUCUUUCUAAUCUUGAUACGGGUUGCUUAUAUUCGCAUGUCAUGUUACCAGUUGCUCAUGAAGAAAGAAAAGAUUAGCACCUCCAUUGCCUCAAAAAAGUCCCAUAUUGAUCUGACUCUGAAGACUCCAGGAUCCCGGAAGAGAAAAACUUCUGAAGUUACAAACAUGAACUUGGAAAAUCUUGGAGUCGAGGAUGCACUCCAGAAGUUGGUCUCUUUUUCUUAAGUUGUCUUUGAUCAUGUUUCCACAGACUUGAGGAUUCGAGCUGAAAAGGUUGAACACUCUUUAAGGGUGCAAGAGAAACUGUGGAAGGCGACCAACGAGGAUCCAUUUAAAUGAGUGCAAAUUUUGAGCAAGGAUAAAGCUGAGAAAGAAGAGGAGCAUGAUGUAGAGAUGACGAAGGUGAUCGCCGAAGCGAGGGCCAAUGCUGUCAUGGCUGUUUGGGAGGCCAAGAUCAAGUUUGCCAAAGAUGUAGCCAAUGCAGGAUGUUGGAAUUUGGUUGGGUUGUGUGAAACCUUAGCCAAUUUAAAGGGUGAACUUGCCAACACUAAUGAGGAUACUGAAGGGCAGCAGUCGAAAGACAUUGAGGAGGAGAAGACCCCAUAGAAUGAUGACCAAGCCACAGUCUAGGCAAGAUAAGAAUAUUUUGCAUGACAUUGUACAAGACGAUUUUUGUUUCUUAUGGAAUUGAUGUACAACUUUUUAU
Molecule: long non-coding RNA, 813 nt
Organism: Lactuca sativa (garden lettuce)
Lineage: Eukaryota; Viridiplantae; Streptophyta; Magnoliopsida; Asterales; Asteraceae
Source: RefSeq, a predicted model, not a curated record